RNAcentral lists this ribosomal RNA (492 nucleotides) under uncultured bacterium. RNAcentral's name for it is "partial 16S ribosomal RNA". It matches the Rfam family "Bacterial small subunit ribosomal RNA", at positions 29 to 507 of the family's 1533-position model. The record is from RNAcentral.
AGUGAACGCUGGCGGUAUGCCUAAUACAUGCAAGUCGAACGGCAAGACAAUAAGAUCUUUCUCUUACGGUUGGCGGGUGGCGGGUGAGUGAGAAAUGGAUCAGCAUCUACUUAUUCUGGGAUGAUUUCGGAAAAAAACAUACGCUAAUAGCUCAUAUGACCUACGGGAUAAGUCAAUAGAGAUUGACAGCUUUCCCGUUUCAAUUAGCCGAUGUCGGAUUAGCUAGUUGGCUGGGUAAAGGCCCACCAAGGCGACGAUCCGUAGCUGGUCUGAGAGGAUGAUCAGCCACACUGGAACUGAGACACGGUCCAGACUCCUACGGGAGGCAGCAGUGGGGAAUAUUGGGCAAUGGGCGAAAGCCUGAUGCAGCAAUACCGCGUGGGUGAAGAAGGCCUUCGGGUUGUAAAGCUCUUUUGUUAGGAAAGAAAAGCAGCAGGUUAAUCUACGGCUGUUCUGACGGUACCUAAAGAAUAAGCAACGGCUAACUUCGUG